AGUCGAACGGCAGCACGGACUUCGGUCUGGUGGCGAGUGGCGAACGGGUGAGUAAUGUAUCGGAACGUGCCUAGUAGCGGGGGAUAACUACGCGAAAGCGUAGCUAAUACCGCAUACGCCCUUCGGGGAAAGCGGGGGGACCUUUCGCCUCUUCGCACUAUUAGAGCGGCCGAUAUCAGAUUAGCUAGUUGGUGGGUAACGGCUCACCACAAGGCGACGAUCCGUAGCUGGUUUGAGAGGACGACCAGCCACACUGGGACUGAGACACGGCCCAGAUCUACGGGAGGCAGCAGUGGGGAAUUUGGACAAUGGGGAAACCCUGAUCCAGCCAUCCCGCGUGUGCGAUGAAGGCCUUCGGGUUGUAAAGCACUUUUGGCAGGAAGAAAACGGCGGCCGGAUAAUACCCCGUGCAACUGACGGUACCUGCAGAAUAAGCACCGGCUAACUACGUGCCAGCAGCCGCGGUAAUACGUAGGGUGCAAGCGUUAAUCGGAAUUACUGGGCGGGAAGCGUGCGCAGGCGGUUCGGAAAGAAAGAUGUGAAAUCCCAGAGCUUAACUUUGGAACUGCAUUUUUAACUACCGAGCUAGAGUGUGUCAGAGGGAGGUGGAAUUCCGCGUGUAGCAGUGAAAUGCGUAGAUAUGCGGAGGAACACCGAUGGCGAAGGCAGCCUCCUGGGAUAACACUGACGCUCAUGCACGAAAGCGGGAGCAAACAGGAUUAGAUACCCUGGUAGUCCACGCCCUAAACGAUGUCAACUAGCUGUUGGGGCCUUCGGGCCUUGGUAGCGCAGCUAACGCGAAGUUGACCGCCUGGGGAGUACGGUCGCAAGAUUAAAACUCAAAGGAAUUGACGGGGACCCGCACAAGCGGUGGAUGAUGUGGAUUAAUUCGAUGCAACGCGAAAACCUUACCUACCCUUGACAUGUCUGGAAUCCCGAAGAGAUUUGGGAGUGCUCGCAAGAGAACCGGAACACAGGUGCUGUAUGGCUGUCGUCAGCUCGUGUCGUGAGAUGUUGGGUUAAGUCCCGCAACGAGCGCAACCCUUGUCAUUAGUUGCUACGAAAGGGCACUCUAAUGAGACUGUCGGUGACAAACCGGAGGAAGGUGGGGAUGACGUCAAGUCCUCAUGGCCCUUAUGGGUAGGGCUUCACACGUCAUACAAUGGUCGGGACAGAGGGUCGCCAACCCGCGAGGGGGAGCCAAUCCCAGAAACCCGAUCGUAGUCCGGAUCGCAGUCUGCAACUCGACUGCGUGAAGUCGGAAUCGCUAGUAAUCGCGGAUCAGCAUGUCGCGGUGAAUACGUUCCCGGGUCUUGUACACACCGCCCGUCACACCAUGGGAGUGGGUUUUACCAGAAGUAGUUAGCCUAACCGUAAGGAGAGGGCGAUUACCACGGUAGGAUUCAUGACUGGGGUGAAGUCGUAACAAGGUAG
RNAcentral lists this ribosomal RNA (1434 nucleotides) under uncultured Bordetella sp. Its description in RNAcentral is "partial 16S-23S ribosomal RNA intergenic spacer". It matches the Rfam family "Bacterial small subunit ribosomal RNA". The record is from RNAcentral. Lineage: Bacteria; Pseudomonadati; Pseudomonadota; Betaproteobacteria; Burkholderiales; Alcaligenaceae.